AUUGAACGCUGGCGGCAGGCCUAACACAUGCAAGUCGAACGGUAACAGGAAGAAGCUUGCUUCUUUGCUGACGAGUGGCGGACGGGUGAGUAAUGUCUGGGAAACUGCCUGAUGGAGGGGGAUAACUACUGGAAACGGUAGCUAAUACCGCAUAACGUCGCAAGACCAAAGAGGGGGACCUUCGGGCCCCCUGCCCUCGGAUGUGCCCAGAUGGGAUUAGCUAGUAGGUGGGGUAACGGCUCACCUAGGCGACGAUCCCUAGCUGGUCUGAGAGGAUGACCAGCCACACUGGAACUGAGACACGGUCCAGACUCCUACGGGAGGCAGCAGUGGGGAAUAUUGCACAAUGGGCGCAAGCCUGUUGCAGCCAUGCCGCGUGUAUGAAGAAGGCCUUCGGGUUGUAAAGUACUUUCAGCGGGGAGGAAGGGAGUAAAGUUAAUACCUUUACUCAUUGACGUUACCCGCAGAAGAAGCACCGGCUAACUCCGUG
RNAcentral lists this ribosomal RNA (490 nucleotides) under uncultured bacterium. RNAcentral's name for it is "partial 16S ribosomal RNA". It matches the Rfam family "Bacterial small subunit ribosomal RNA", at positions 30 to 507 of the family's 1533-position model. The record is from RNAcentral.